RNAcentral lists this ribosomal RNA (58 nucleotides) under Planomonospora parontospora subsp. sphaerica. Lineage: Bacteria; Bacillati; Actinomycetota; Actinomycetes; Streptosporangiales; Streptosporangiaceae. The record is from RNAcentral.
UACGGCGGUUAUGGCGAAGGGGAAACACCCGGUUACAUUCCGAACCCGGAAGUUAAGC